RNAcentral lists this ribosomal RNA (1309 nucleotides) under Escherichia coli. RNAcentral describes it as "partial 23S ribosomal RNA". It matches the Rfam family "Bacterial large subunit ribosomal RNA", at positions 1537 to 2825 of the family's 2925-position model. Lineage: Bacteria; Pseudomonadati; Pseudomonadota; Gammaproteobacteria; Enterobacterales; Enterobacteriaceae. The record is from RNAcentral.
CAAAUCCGGAAAAUCAAGGCUGAGGCGUGAUGACGAGGCACUGCGGUGCUGAAGCAACAAAUGCCCUGCUUCCAGGAAAAGCCUCUAAGCAUCAGGUAACAUCAAAUCGUACCCCAAACCGACACAGGUGGUCAGGUAGAGAAUACCAAGGCGCUUGAGAGAACUCGGGUGAAGGAACUAGGCAAAAUGGUGCCGUAACUUCGGGAGAAGGCACGCUGAUAUGUAGGUGAAGUCCCUCGCGGAUGGAGCUGAAAUCAGUCGAAGAUACCAGCUGGCUGCAACUGUUUAUUAAAAACACAGCACUGUGCAAACACGAAAGUGGACGUAUACGGUGUGACGCCUGCCCGGUGCCGGAAGGUUAAUUGAUGGGGUCAGCGCAAGCGAAGCUCUUGAUCGAAGCCCCGGUAAACGGCGGCCGUAACUAUAACGGUCCUAAGGUAGCGAAAUUCCUUGUCGGGUAAGUUCCGACCUGCACGAAUGGCGUAAUGAUGGCCAGGCUGUCUCCACCCGAGACUCAGUGAAAUUGAACUCGCUGUGAAGAUGCAGUGUACCCGCGGCAAGACGGAAAGACCCCGUGAACCUUUACUAUAGCUUGACACUGAACAUUGAGCCUUGAUGUGUAGGAUAGGUGGGAGGCUUUGAAGUGUGGACGCCAGUCUGCAUGGAGCCGACCUUGAAAUACCACCCUUUAAUGUUUGAUGUUCUAACGUUGACCCGUAAUCCGGGUUGCGGACAGUGUCUGGUGGGUAGUUUGACUGGGGCGGUCUCCUCCUAAAGAGUAACGGAGGAGCACGAAGGUUGGCUAAUCCUGGUCGGACAUCAGGAGGUUAGUGCAAUGGCAUAAGCCAGCUUGACUGCGAGCGUGACGGCGCGAGCAGGUGCGAAAGCAGGUCAUAGUGAUCCGGUGGUUCUGAAUGGAAGGGCCAUCGCUCAACGGAUAAAAGGUACUCCGGGGAUAACAGGCUGAUACCGCCCAAGAGUUCAUAUCGACGGCGGUGUUUGGCACCUCGAUGUCGGCUCAUCACAUCCUGGGGCUGAAGUAGGUCCCAAGGGUAUGGCUGUUCGCCAUUUAAAGUGGUACGCGAGCUGGGUUUAGAACGUCGUGAGACAGUUCGGUCCCUAUCUGCCGUGGGCGCUGGAGAACUGAGGGGGGCUGCUCCUAGUACGAGAGGACCGGAGUGGACGCAUCACUGGUGUUCGGGUUGUCAUGCCAAUGGCACUGCCCGGUAGCUAAAUGCGGAAGAGAUAAGUGCUGAAAGCAUCUAAGCACGAAACUUGCCCCGAGAUGAGUUCUCCCUGACUCCUUGAG